AGGUAAUUAGUCUAAUAAAAACAUUUGAUUUCGGCUCAAAAGCUUAUGGUUUAAUUCCAUAAUUACCUA
Molecule: transfer RNA, 69 nt
Filed under: Grammoplites scaber (rough flathead)
Lineage: Eukaryota; Metazoa; Chordata; Actinopteri; Perciformes; Platycephalidae
Also listed under: 1 other name
Description: tRNA-Arg
Rfam family: tRNA
About the family: Transfer RNA (tRNA) molecules are approximately 80 nucleotides in length. Their secondary structure includes four short double-helical elements and three loops (D, anti-codon, and T loops).
Source: RNAcentral